AUCCCCCUUCACCACCAUCGUCUGGAUUCGAUUUGGAGGGAGCUUCUUCUUGGAUCUAGCCUCACCACCACCGUCUGUUUCUUCUACAACUCUUAAGUCCUCUCUCUUCAAAAUUUGAUAUUGAAGAACGUGCUAAAAAGUGGGUUUUAGGAAGCAUAUGUUCAAGUUGGAGGAACCACAAAUGUCGAUUGAAGACAAAGUAUUUUUUUCCAAAUAUGCCACAUGAUUACAACUUCAAAAAUCGACCCCCAAGUGUUCCACUUGAGCAGUGGAAAAUUCUUAUUAAAUUUUGGAAAUCUGACAUAGCUAAGGUUCGCUGUGAGAAAAAUAAAAUAAGCAGAGCAAAAUUUACUUCUGUACAUACCACAGGAACAAAAACCUUUGCUGAAAUACGAUAUGAAGAGAUGAUGAAAAAUAUUGAUGGAAGAGAGCCAUCUCGUGCAGAAAUGUUCAUCAUGACACAUAAGCCUAAAAAUGAGGAAACCAAAAAGAUUAUUUUAAAGCUUGAGGAUGCAAUUUCUUCGCAUUCAAUAGAACCAGAGAAAAACUCAACCCGAGAUGAUGUAUUUUCCCAAGUCUUUGGAAAAGAUCGACAUGGUUAUGUGCGCACAUAUGGAAAAGGGGUUUCACCUUCCGAUCUAUGGGGAUCUAACUCCCGAGUUGGAAUACAAAAAUUAAUUGAUGAAGUUCAAAGGAAUGCUCAGGUUGAACUACAAAGCAUGAAAAACAGAAUGCAAGAGGAAAUGGAAAUAAAGCUAAAAGAGCAAGUGAAGGAGCAAGUGGAAACCAAACUAAAAGAGCAACUAGAAGCAAUGAAAGUUGAGCUUCUAAACAACUUCAAAAUCGCUUUUACUCAAAUCCCAAGUUAUGCUCCAGAAGUAAUGGUUUCAAAUUUGAAUAAAGAGGAGGUGGACAUUGAAGAUGAUCCAACAUUGAAGAUGAUGGAUAAUGAUGACAACAUCUCUCAUAAAGGUUUAUUUAUUUCAUAGUAGUAAAUAUUGAUUUAGUAUUAAAUGUUUUGAUCUUUGCAUUGUUCCUUUGGUAGUUAUUGAAGAUCCUACAAGUGAGCUCGUAGAGAAAAAUGCACAUGCCUUGAUCUUUCCAUUCACUCAUACUAGCCCCAGGAGAAAAAAAGGAAAAAGUGCAGAAAACUAACACCAAGUUAACUAAGAGGAAAUUAGAAGAUCUUAAUGUUGAAAUUGUCACACUUGAUAACGAUCUUAGCAUUCUCAAACAUCCAUCCAAUGCCUUUGAGCUUUUCUUGCAAGAAUUUGCAAACAACUAUAAAGAAACAAAAGUUGAUUUAGACAAUUUUGAAAGGGUUAAGAAAAAAGUUGUUAAGGCAUGGAACUCUCUGACAAAUAAAGUAAGUCCAAGCCUUUUAUUCAUCCUUAAGAAAUUUAAUAUUAAUUGAGCUUCUUAUUUAUGAUAUUUGAAUCAGGAAUUAGAGUCUUAUUUCAAUGCAGCAACUAAACUCAAAAGAAAAUUACAUUUGAGUACAUUAAAGGAAAGGUUCUUCUUCUUCUUCUUUAUAACUUUAGUGUUGUUAACAUUCUUGAAUAUCAUGCCAUAAGAUGUUCUUAUUAUCCUCUUGAACAUCAUGCCAAAAGUAAUUGUUGCAAUCCAUACAUAGCCACUGCCCAUCAUUCCUAGCUUCUGAGCAAUGGAAAAAUGCUCAAACCAGUUUCAGGAUUAACAUCCCUCCAUCUGUAUAAGUAGUUUUUGUUUCCAUUUUUGUUGUUAUAUUGAUUGUUUGUUAAUGAACUUUAUCUAAGUAGUGUUAUUGAAGGAAAAGAAAUAGGAAAAAGAGAGCAGAAACCUAAAAUUCAUUUUGACGGGAUUGACUUGAAAAAAUUGAAACAAGAGAAAUCCCACAAGUUUGCUAAAUGAUGCACAUACAUUGUUACAUGCAAAUGAGCUGAAGAAGCGGCUUGAAUAAGGUAAUGAUCGUAGGAAGUUCAACAUCAAAAGAUUCUGAAUCAGGAAGAUGAUGAAGAAUAAGACUGAAAUUAAAGCUAAUUCAGUAUCAUAUCUCCAAGAAAUUCUGAACUGUCAAAAUAAAAAUCCAUGCAUUAGUAACAGAAGAAGAGAAGGACAGUUCAAUUUAUGUUGAUGGUUAUUAAGAUCAUAUUUUAAACUUGAGAUUUUCCAUGUUUUAGUUGAGGUAUAUUCUUUGAUGUAUUUACUUUUAUUUUUAAUGCAGAACAUGAUGAUGUUGAGAAUCUUAAAACUCGGACAAAAUUUAAACA
Unclassified non-coding RNA from Vigna unguiculata (cowpea), 2249 nucleotides. The record is from RefSeq and is a predicted model, not a curated record. Lineage: Eukaryota; Viridiplantae; Streptophyta; Magnoliopsida; Fabales; Fabaceae.